AUUGAACGCUGGCGGCAGGCCUAACACAUGCAAGUCGAACGAGUGGCGGACGGGUGAGUAAUGUCUGGGAAACUGCCUGAUGGAGGGGGAUAACUACUGUAAACGGUAGCUAAUACCGCAUACCAUCGGAUGUGCCCAGGUGGGAUUAGCUAGUGGGGGGGGUAACGGCUCACCUAGGCGAAGAUCCCUAGCUGGUCUGAGAGGAUGACCAGCCACACUGGAACUGAGACACGGUCCAGACUCCUACGGGAGGCAGCAGUGGGGAAUAUGGCGCAAGGGGCGAAAGCCUGAGGCAGCCAUGCCGCGUGUAUGAAGAAGGCCUUCGGGUUGUAAAGUACUUUCAGCGGGGAGGCGGUACCCGAAGAAGAAGCACCGGCUAACUCCGUGCCAGCAGCCGCGGUAAUUC
This 406-nucleotide ribosomal RNA is filed under the name uncultured bacterium. RNAcentral's name for it is "partial 16S ribosomal RNA". It matches the Rfam family "Bacterial small subunit ribosomal RNA", at positions 29 to 526 of the family's 1533-position model. The record is from RNAcentral.